RNAcentral lists this ribosomal RNA (845 nucleotides) under uncultured Chloroflexota bacterium. Its description in RNAcentral is "bacterial SSU rRNA". It matches the Rfam family "Bacterial small subunit ribosomal RNA", at positions 527 to 1382 of the family's 1533-position model. The record is from RNAcentral. Lineage: Bacteria; Bacillati; Chloroflexota.
GUAGGAGGCAAACGUUAUCCGGAUUUACUGGCCGUAAAGCGCGUGUAGGUGGUACUGUAAGUAGGGCGUGAAAGCUCCUGGCUCAACUGGGAGAGGCCGUUCUAAACUACAGAACUAGAGGAUGGUAGAGGGAGGUGGAAUUCCCAGGUGUAGCGGUGGAAUGCGCAGAUAUCCGGAGGAACACCGGUGGCGAAGGCGGCCUCCUGGACCAUUCCUGACACUCAGACGCGAAAGCUAGGGUAGCAAACGGGAUUAGAGACCCCGGUAGUCCUAGCCCUAAACGAUGUAGACUAGGCGUCGGAAGUUUAAUCACUUUCGGUGUCCAAGCUAACGCGAUAAGUCUACCGCCUGGGGACUACGGCCGCAAGGUUAAAACUCAAAGGAAUUGACGGGUCCCCGCACAAGCAGCGGAGCGUGUGGUUUAAUUCGUUGCUACACGAAGAACCUUACCUGGGUUUGACAUAGCAGUGGUAGGGAAGCGAAAGCGGACCGACCCUUCGGGGAGCUGUUACAGGUGUUGCAUGGCUGUCGUCAGCUCGUGUCGUGAGAUGUUCGGUUAAGUCCGCUAACGAGCGCAACCCGCGUUGUGUGUUACAAGUGUCACACAAUACCGCCGGUAUUAAGUCGGAGGAAGGUGCGGAUGACGUCAAGUCAGCAUGACCUUUAUAUCCAGGGCUACACACACGCUACAAUGGUCGGCACAAUAGGUUGCCAAGUCGUGAGACGGAGCCAAUCCUCCAAAGCCGGCCUCAGUUCAGAUUGCAGGCUGCAACUCGCCUGCAUGAAGUUGGAGUUGCUAGUAAACGCAGGUCAGCUAUACUGCGUUGAAUACGUUCCCGGGGAUU